Molecule: long non-coding RNA, 1187 nt
Organism: Glossina fuscipes
Lineage: Eukaryota; Metazoa; Arthropoda; Insecta; Diptera; Glossinidae
Exons: 2
Source: RefSeq, a predicted model, not a curated record
AGUGAAUGAAAUUUUGCUAAAUUUAGCAGUACAGAGUGUUAUAUAUAAUAAUUAAAUGGAUUUCAUUUAUUAAUUCUCUUGGUAUUUUAAUUCAUUGUAAAUGUGGUGUGAGUGUAGCGUUAUACUAUUAUCGUGAUAGUAGUUGAGUUAAAAAAAAAAGAAAAACUACUCUUGUAAAGUAUAAUAAAGGAAAAUGAAUACAAUAAAUAUUCCUUAAGUGAAAAAUUACUUCCUUGUCUCGUUGGGUAUACAUUGCGUGAAUGAGUGCGCGGAGCAAGUGCAAAAAUUAAUUAAAGCCAAACAAAAAGCAAAAAACGAUCUCUACCCUUAACCCUUGGCUAAAUGAAAUGAUUUUUUUUAGGUAAUUUUAUGCUGUUUUAAGCUCUACGCCCUGCCCUAACUGUAUGUAGAUGUGUAUGUGCAAUGGACGUCGGUUGUGUUGUCUCUGCUCAAUCAAGCAUAUUUAAUGUGCUUUUGUUCCAAUUCUUCAGUGUUAACGUGCAAGUUUUCUUUUUUAUGUUUUACUUGUGUCAUAGUCGCAAGGACGUCGCUGCUUAAAAAAUCAUGAAAUAACGUAACACAUAACAAGGAUACACCUCACACUUAAACUUAUUCAACAGCAAAAAAAAAGAAGAAGGGUUGUACAACAGAUAAAGCGAAAGAGCCAAAAAAAUAGAAGAAAAAAAAAAAACUGAGAAUAUAAACAAACACUCACACAAGCACACUCCCUGAUAGCUGCAUGUGCCUAUGUUUUGUAAUCUAAAAUAAUUCGGCCUAUUCAUUCAUGUGUUGUUCUGCGUUAUGCGCGUAGCUCUCACAUAUGUUAUACUAAUGUUCGUUUAGAGUACCGUUGAAGCAUUUAGUAUUGUUUCUUCAAUGCAUCAGGUGCAUACAUAUUCAUGAUAUUUCGGCAACUUCGCACGGCAACAAAUUCACUACGCGAUGAUUGCGCUAAACAAAAUUAUGCAAGAUAAGCUGCAAAAUAAUUCAACAACGACGACAACAUGAAGAAAUUGUUUAAUUUUAAAAAAGACGAAACUUAAAGAAACAGAAAAGAAGGAAAAAAAAAAAAAAAAAAAACAAAAUAAAACCAUAAAUAUUAGUCAACAUUAGGAUUAUCGGCAACAAGACAAGCGACGAAGUGUUAAACACUUUAACAUUAAAUAUAAUACUUAUCUACGAAAUUC